RNAcentral lists this ribosomal RNA (516 nucleotides) under Ancistrocerus parietinus. Its description in RNAcentral is "partial small subunit ribosomal RNA". The record is from RNAcentral. Lineage: Eukaryota; Metazoa; Arthropoda; Insecta; Hymenoptera; Vespidae.
UUAAACUAUUAAAUAAAAGUUAAUUUAUUCAAAAAAAAUAAAAUAUUAAUAAAAUAAUUUAUAUAAAAAUUUAAUUUUUAUUAGUGAAAUAAAAAAAAUUAUAAAUUUAUAUAAUUAAAUGAAAUAUAAUUUUGAAAUUUAAAAGAAUAAACUAGGAUUAGAUACCCUAUUAUAGUAAAAUAAAAAAAAAAUAUUAAAGUAUUAAAUGUUAUAUCAUUAAAUUUAUAAGAUUUGGCGGUAUUUUAUCCAAAUUAGGGGAACUUGUUUAGUAAUUGAUGAACCACGAUAAGAAUUACUUAAUUUAAUAUUUAUGUAUUGCUGUUUAAAAAUAUAUUUUAAGAAUAUAAAUUAGAAUUUAAAAAAUAUAAAAUAAUUCAAGUCAAAAUAUAGUUUAAUUAAGAUAAAAUGAGUUACAAAAAAAUUAAUUUAAAUGAAUUUUUAUAUUUAAUUAUAAAAUGAAGGUGGAUUUAAAAGUAAAUUUAAUAAAUAAAUUAAGUUGAAAUUUUGUUUUAAAAU